GACGUCCACUGUGAACUGGUAGCUGUCUCCCAUUGUCUUGAUCUUCCCUGCUGUCCCUGUCCGACCUGGAAACACAACCAAGACAUAUGGCCUCAUCCCAGUAAUUUUCUGUGUGUGAGGUCACGGCGCUGGCAGUGUGUCCAACAUCCCCCCUCCCAUCCCGCCCUGUCUUCCCUCCAUCGGCAGCCACCUCCUCCUUUUUCCGGAGGCACGGGCAUGCCAGUCACAGCACCAACAUACCCUGCUCUGCCCUACUGCUACUACCCACCAAACAACCCUCCCAUUUGCCCUGUGUUGUCCUGUUGAGAAGCUGUCGGGUCAAACACAUGGAAGCACAUGCGCGCAGAGCCUUAAAGAGAGUUCAGCAGGCAAUCUACACACAUGAAUACACGUGUGUGACACAUCUAAUACAGCAUGAAUUAUCCACAGACAAUUUCAUUCAGCAAUGGCAUUUGAUACUAUAUGUAUGGAAUAAGUAGAAUAUUACAACCUAAUAUAUCAUGUAUAGCUAUAUAUAUAUGUUAUGCUGGUCCACAAUUGGGAAUUCAUGUAAAAUCAACUCACUGGGAAAUCCCAAGGCAUCCGUUCCAGGACGCAUGAAAGAGCCAAAGUCCUCUGCAAAGAGCCCCCUGCUCUUCUCCAUAUAUGGGUUGUUGGAGGAUGAGGAGGAAGAAGAGGUCUGCUGGAAGCUGCGCUCCGAUCGGUAGGCAGAGGAGUUGGUCACACUCAUUGAUGGCUGUCUGCCUGAGAGGUGGGAAAAGGAUCCGCUUUUUAAAGGGAGAGCGAGAGAAAGGGAAGAUAUCCUUGUUGUUCAGUCUUUGCCCAGUCCACUCAGUUUACAUCAGAGGGAAAGUGGGCAGAUCUUCGGGUAGUUCGUAAAAUGCUAUCUUUACUUUCCCACUAUUUAAAAAUGUGUGUCUGUGUCUGUCUUUUGGAUAAGUGUGUCGGUUAAGUGUGUCCACGAGCAUAGCCAGUCAGUCACUCAUACAGGCUCUUAUAUAUUUGGAUCCAAGCUAUGUUUUUUUUUCUGUGUGUGGUGGGGGUCACGUGUGCGUUUCUGAAGGAUAACAGUGAGCUAUAUUUAUCAUGUGAGGGAGAGAGAGAGCGGGUCUGGGGUCGGAAAAGUUAUGGGCGAUGAGGGCUUGAGGUUAAGAGAGAGAGAGGGGCUCUGACAAAGAGAGAGAGAGAGAGACGGUGAGAGGAAGGCAAGAGAAGGGGAUGAGUCAACAGUUGCCAUUCCAGACACUCAAUACCCCAAAUAGUUAUCUACUUCUUUCCUCUACUCUCCCUCUAUUUGUUUUUUUUCUCUGUAAGCAUCAGUUUCUCUUUUUUGUCAUGAUAUUUGAUCAUAUUGUGAAUCAGUGGUUACAUAACAUGUGCUCUUGGCCAUAAAACUUCUGCUGCCUGCUAUUCACACACAUAUUGGUUACAAUUGGUGUUAUUAUACUUAUUUCAAGUAAUUACUAUUACAAAACUAGUGGUAACUAAUUUGAAACAAUUAGUACUUGAGGUUCAUAUCUAAAUGAAUUAACUGUGUAUCCGUUUCUAAAUAUGCUGUUUCUAAUGAAUUAAUAAAGUGCAGCUAACCUGUUGUA
Salvelinus fontinalis (brook trout) is the source of this 1595-nucleotide long non-coding RNA. RefSeq lists it as uncharacterized. NCBI's taxonomy places the organism in Eukaryota, Metazoa, Chordata, Actinopteri, Salmoniformes, Salmonidae. The transcript is spliced from 2 exons. The record is from RefSeq and is a predicted model, not a curated record.